GACGAACGCUGGCGGCGUGCCUAAUACAUGCAAGUUGAGCGCUGAAGGUUGGUACUUGUACCAACUGGAUGAGCAGCGAACGGGUGAGUAACGCGUGGGGAAUCUGCCUUUGAGCGGGGGACAACAUUUGGAAACGAAUGCUAAUACCGCAUAAAAACUUUAAACACAAGUUUUAAGUUUGAAAGAUGCAAUUGCAUCACUCAAAGAUGAUCCCGCGUUGUAUUAGCUAGUUGGUGAGGUAAAGGCUCACCAAGGCGAUGAUACAUAGCCGACCUGAGAGGGUGAUCGGCAACAUUGGGACUGAGACACGGCCAAAACUCCUACGGGAGGCAGCAGUAGGGAAUCUUCGGCAAUGGACGAAAGUCUGACCGAGCAACGCCGCGUGAGUGAAGAAGGUUUUCGGAUCGUAAAACUCUGUUGGUAGAGAAGAACGUUGGUGAGAGUGGAAAGCUCAUCAAGUGACGGUAACUACCCAGAAAGGGACGGCUAACUACGUG
RNAcentral lists this ribosomal RNA (497 nucleotides) under uncultured bacterium. RNAcentral's name for it is "partial 16S ribosomal RNA". It matches the Rfam family "Bacterial small subunit ribosomal RNA", at positions 28 to 507 of the family's 1533-position model. The record is from RNAcentral.